RNAcentral lists this ribosomal RNA (497 nucleotides) under uncultured bacterium. RNAcentral's name for it is "partial 16S ribosomal RNA". It matches the Rfam family "Bacterial small subunit ribosomal RNA", at positions 28 to 507 of the family's 1533-position model. The record is from RNAcentral.
GACGAACGCUGGCGGCGUGCCUAAUACAUGCAAGUUGAGCGCUGAAGGUUGGUACUUGUACCAACUGGAUGAGCAGCGAACGGGUGAGUAACGCGUGGGGAAUCUGCCUUUGAGCGGGGGACAACAUUUGGAAACGAAUGCUAAUGCCGCAUAAAAACUUUAAACACAAGUUUUAAGUUUGAAAGAUGCAAUUGCAUCACUCAAAGAUGAUCCCGCGUUGUAUUAGCUAGUUGGUGAGGUAAAGGCUCACCAAGGCGAUGAUACAUAGCCGACCUGAGAGGGUGAUCGGCCACAUUGGGACUGAGACACGGCCCAAACUCCUACGGGAGGCAGCAGUAGGGAAUCUUCGGCAAUGGACGAAAGUCUGACCGAGCAACGCCGCGUGAGUGAAGAAGGUUUUCGGAUCGUAAAACUCUGUUGGUAGAGAAGAACGUUGGUGAGAGUGGAAAGCUCAUAAAGUGACGGUAACUACCCAGAAAGGGACGGCUAACUACGUG